Molecule: unclassified non-coding RNA, 313 nt
Filed under: plant metagenome
Description: partial contains small subunit ribosomal RNA, internal transcribed spacer 1, and 5.8S ribosomal RNA
Source: RNAcentral
UUUCCGUAGGUGAACCUGCGGAAGGAUCAUUACCACACCAACCAAAACUUUUUUUUGAAAUAAGCGAUAGAGAGAAAUUUAUUUUUUUCUAUUGCUUAAUUCAAUUAAGUCCCAGCGGAAUAUUUUUUUUAAAAAUCAAGUCAAAUGGAUUAAAGACUUUAAAAUAUUUUCCCCGCUUCAUGCGGUAAUUUUAUUUCAAUAGAAAUAUUGGAAAAAAAUUGAAAACCAACGACAAUAAUUUUUUUGCAAGUUAAGUCAUGCGAAAAAAAAAAAUAAAGCCAAAACACUUUCAGCAACGGAUGUCUUGGCUCCC